UACGUAGGGUGCGAGCGUUGUCCGGAAUUAUUGGGCGUAAAGAGCUCGUAGGCGGUCUGUCGCGUCGGUCGUGAAAACUUGGGGCUUAACCCUGAGCUUGCGGUCAAUACGGGCAUGACUGGAGUUCGGCAGGGGAGACUGGAAUUCCUGGUGUAGCGGUGAAAUGCGCAGAUAUCAGGAGGAACACCGGUGGCGAAGGCGGGUCUCUGGGCCGAUACUGACGCUGAGGAGCGAAAGCGUGGGGAGCGAACAGG
This 254-nucleotide ribosomal RNA is filed under the name uncultured bacterium. RNAcentral's name for it is "partial 16S ribosomal RNA". It matches the Rfam family "Bacterial small subunit ribosomal RNA", at positions 524 to 776 of the family's 1533-position model. The record is from RNAcentral.